This 668-nucleotide ribosomal RNA is filed under the name Houttuynia cordata (chameleon-plant). RNAcentral describes it as "eukaryotic LSU rRNA". The stretch from base 244 to 400 matches the Rfam family "5.8S ribosomal RNA". Lineage: Eukaryota; Viridiplantae; Streptophyta; Magnoliopsida; Piperales; Saururaceae. The record is from RNAcentral.
GGAUCAUUGUUGAUGCGUACCAAAACAAGAUCGACCGAAGCGAACAUGUGACCCCUUGUUCUUUGCUUGCGUGCGAGGAUUGCCAUCUCGGUGGCUCUCCGAGCGCGUCGGGCACCAACGAACAAAAUCCCGGCGCAGUUCGCGCCAAGGAAUUUUCUUAAUUGAUUGUGGCGGUCUCGUCGCCCGUUUGCGCCUCGUGCGUCGGCGGGUGCGAGUCGGCGCAUCAAACUAUAAUGUCAAUACGACUCUCGGCAACGGAUAUCUCGGCUCUCGCAUCGAUGAAGAACGUAGCGAAAUGCGAUACUUGGUGUGAAUUGCAGAAUCCCGUGAACCAUCGAGUCUUUGAACGCAAGUUGCGCCCGAGGCCUUUUAGGUUGAGGGCACAUCUGCUUGGGCGUCAAACAUCACGUCGCUCCCCACACCACUGCCCAACGGGCAGACAAGGAUGGGUUUGCGGAGAUUGGUCGUCCGAGUGCCUCGAGCAUGCGGUUGGCUGAAAAGCUCUGGCCUUUGGUUGCACGCGGCUCAACAAGUGGUGGUUGUGGGCUCUUUUGGGCCGCGAUUGUCGGGAUGUUGUGUCGUGUUUUGCCCGUGUUGGCCAGCGAGGACCCUAUUCGAUCGACCUCCGCACUCCGGAGGCACGAAUCAGAUUGCGACCCCAAGUCAGG